Pelobates cultripes (western spadefoot toad) is the source of this 267-nucleotide non-coding RNA. The record is from the annotation of a GenBank genome assembly. NCBI's taxonomy places the organism in Eukaryota, Metazoa, Chordata, Amphibia, Anura, Pelobatidae.
CACCUAUUUAGUGAAUAUAUCCAAAUAUAUUUUCUGUAGCUUGACAUCUCUACCAAUUAUACCUGUGUAAUUUCUGUAUUCUCUUCCUGUGUUUUGCUACAUUUGCUCAGAUUUUGUGUCGAAUUAAAUCCCUAGAAUAAAGUAGCCCUUGAGUACACAAUUUCAUGUGACAUGCUAACUAAUGCUCGUUAUUUACUCAGUAAUAUGAGAACGGAUCACAUUCUCCCUUGUGUCAUUAUCAAGCACCUCCAGUGAGUCAGAGACGAG